Molecule: ribosomal RNA, 793 nt
Filed under: uncultured archaeon
Lineage: Archaea
Description: bacterial SSU rRNA
Rfam family: Archaeal small subunit ribosomal RNA
Source: RNAcentral
ACGGCUCAGUAACACGUGGACAACCUACCCAAGAGUCCGGGAUAACCCCGGGAAACUGGGGAUAAUACCGGAUAGAUCAAACUUGCUGGAAGGCUGUUUGGUUGAAACUUCCGGGGCUUUUGGAUGGGUCUGCGGCUGAUUAGGUUGUUGCCGGUGUAACGUACCGUCAAGCCUGUAAUCAGUACGGGUUGUGGGAGCAAGAGCCCGGAGAUGGAUUCUGAGACACGAAUCCAGGCCCUACGGGGCGCAGCAGGCGCGAAAACUCUACAAUGCAGGCAACUGCGAUAGGGGAACAUCGAGUGAUCCUCAUAUUGGGGGUCUGUCCACUCGUCUAAAAAACGGGUGUUAGCAAGGGCCGGGCAAGACCGGUGCCAGCCGCCGCGGUAAUACCGGCGGCUCGAGUGGUGGCCGAUAUUAUUGAGUCUAAAGGGUCCGUAGCCGGCUUUGCAAGUCUCUCGGGAAAUCCAGCGGCUUAACCGUUGGUCGUCCGGGGGGUACUACAUUGCUUGGGACUGGGAGAGGUAGGAGGUACUCAGGGGGUAGGAGUGAAAUCCUGUAAUCCUCUGGGGACCACCGGUGGCGAAGGCGUCCUACCAGAACAGGUCCGACGGUGAGGGACGAAAGCUAGGGGCACGAACCGGAUUAGAUACCCGGGUAGUCCUAGCCGUAAACGAUGCUCGCUAGGUGUCACAACAGUCGUGAACUGUUGUGGUGCCGUAGGGAAGCCGUGAAGCGAGCCACUUGGGAAGUACGACCGCAAGGUUGAAACUUAAAGGAAUUGGCGGGGGAGCAC